Long non-coding RNA from Oryza sativa Japonica Group (Japanese rice), 320 nucleotides. RefSeq lists it as uncharacterized. The record is from RefSeq and is a predicted model, not a curated record. NCBI's taxonomy places the organism in Eukaryota, Viridiplantae, Streptophyta, Magnoliopsida, Poales, Poaceae.
AGAUGAAUCAUUUUCAGCACAGAUGCUGGGGGACUGAAAAAUGGAAAUUGGUAGCCAGGGAUUGCACCACAAAAUCUUCCUUCAGUCUAUUUUUGGCUCAUCCUUGUGCAGGCUGCAAAGUGUGCUAGCACUUGAUUAGUUCUCCGAUGGGAUUAUAUGCUUUCCUUUGUGGGAUUUCUUCAGGUAGCAGGCAACCACUUCUGCACUUGAGGUUGAGGCCACAUGCAUCACAUCACCCAUCCUUCUGAGAUCAGAUUACACACAAUUCAAUACUAUUGGAUCAUAAUAUUGGUUUAGUAAAUCAACGUGCCCUUGUGCAA